GGGGAAUAUUGCGCAAUGGGGGAAACCCUGACGCAGCAACGCCGCGUGAAGGAUGAAGGCUUUCGGGUUGUAAACUUCUUUAGUCGGGGACGAAUGGAUGACGGUACCCGAAGAAUAAGCCACGGCUAACUACGUGCCAGCAGCCGCGGUAAUACGUAGGUGGCGAGCGUUGUCCGGAAUUACUGGGUGUAAAGGGCGUGUAGGCGGGUUAUCAAGUCAGAUGUGAAAUUCCAGGGCUCAACCCUGGCGCUGCAUCUGAAACUGAUGAUCUUGAGUACUGGAGAGGGAAGCGGAAUUCCUAGUGUAGCGGUGAAAUGCGUAGAUAUUAGGAGGAACACCAGUGGCGAAGGCGGCUUUCUGGACAGUAACUGACGCUGAGGCGCGAAAGCGUGGGGAGCGAAC
This 402-nucleotide ribosomal RNA is filed under the name uncultured bacterium. Its description in RNAcentral is "bacterial SSU rRNA". It matches the Rfam family "Bacterial small subunit ribosomal RNA", at positions 356 to 773 of the family's 1533-position model. The record is from RNAcentral.